Molecule: RNA transcript, 1293 nt
Organism: Motacilla alba alba
Lineage: Eukaryota; Metazoa; Chordata; Aves; Passeriformes; Motacillidae
Gene name: carboxymethylenebutenolidase homolog
Exons: 8
Source: RefSeq, a predicted model, not a curated record
CCCAAAAUCUGCAGAAGAGAUGAAGAGUACCUGAAAACUGGAUGGGCAGCACCAGGAGCAAAACUGUCAGCAAGAACUGGUUUUCUUCUUUUUCUGUUUAGAGAAAUCUAGCUGGUGUCUCACUGAGCAGAAGAAGUGAGCUGGGCUGAAAUAGGAUCCUGCACUCCAGGUUUCCAAAUGGCUGAUCCUUUUCUAUAUAAUACUGGAGAAAGGUCUCACUAUGGGUGCCUUGGCCAUGAAGUACAAAUUGAUUACCUUAAGGCAUAUGUUUGUAGACCAUCUUUUUCCACGGACAAAGCUGUGAUUGUGGUUCACGAUGUAUUUGGAUGGCAGUUCCCAGACAUUAGAUACAUAGUUGAUUUGAUGGCAGGUCAUGGAUUUGUAACCAUCUGCCCAGACUUCUUCAAGGGGACAAAACCCUGGACAUCUACUGAUCACUGGGCUGACUUUCCUGACUGGAUGAAAAAUCAUGAUCCUAUGAAAGUAGACAAGGAAGCUGAUGUUGUCUUGAAGUAUCUAAAGGAACAAUGCGGUGCAAAGAAGAUUGGUAUCGUUGGGUUUUCCUGGGGUGGAAUGGCAGUACAUCACUUGAUGCUGAAAAAUCCUCAAUUAACCGCUGGGGUGUCCCUCUAUGGAAUAGUUAGAGACUCUGAAGAAAGAUACAGUUUACUAAAUCCCACAUUUUUCAUUUUUGGUGAGAAAGACCACACUAUUUCUUUGGAUCAGGUCUUCUUAUUGGAGGACAAGCUGAAACAGUAUUGUAAAGUUCCAUAUAAAAUUAAAGUUUAUCCUGGGCAAGUUCAUGGGUUUGCACAACUGAAGCCAGAAGAUAUGAAACCUGAUGAUAAACCUUAUAUUGAAGAAGCUAGAAGGGAUAUGAUUGAUUGGAUCAAAAUGUUUGUUUGACAAUAGCAGAAAGAAAUACUAGGCUUCAAGAUUCCUAGAUGGCUGAUGAAUGAGGCCCUGCCUGUGUGAUACUGGAGGCAGAUUUGACUAUGAGGGUUGUGGGGCAGGAAGUACAAGUUGAGCACAUCAAGGUGUACAUUUGCAAACCACCUGCCAGCACAGGCAAAUCUGCGAUUGUGAUUCAUGAUCUAUUUGGACGGCACCUCCCAAACAUCAGAUACAUGGCUGAUAUGCUAACAACUAAUGGAUACAUAAAUUAUAUAAAGGAUCAAACAAGGGGAAGAAAAAUAAAUGAUUGCAACAUACUUCAGUCUGAUUUAGGCCAAACUGAUUCAGUCAUUUCACCAUGUUCAAUAACAUCCAUGAGGUGUGUCUGAGGAUGGAGAG